Unclassified non-coding RNA from Chelonoidis abingdonii (Abingdon island giant tortoise), 107 nucleotides. The record is from Ensembl. NCBI's taxonomy places the organism in Eukaryota, Metazoa, Chordata, Testudines, Testudinidae.
CUAUUUACACAACAGGUGCAGCACGGGCUGCAGCUGUACAAGCUUCCCUACCACUAACCUACAAAUGUGCCUCAGUCAUUAGCUGAAUGAGCCACUUCCAGGACUGG